Oncorhynchus keta (chum salmon) is the source of this 397-nucleotide long non-coding RNA. RefSeq lists it as uncharacterized. The transcript has 3 exons. The record is from RefSeq and is a predicted model, not a curated record. Lineage: Eukaryota; Metazoa; Chordata; Actinopteri; Salmoniformes; Salmonidae.
GUGGUUAGGUCUACUAGUGACCGGUAGUGGUUAGGUCUACUAGUUACCGGCAGUGGUUAGGUCUACUAGUUACCGGCAGUGGUUAGGUCUACUAGUGACCGGUAGUGGUUAGGUCUACUAGUUACCGGCAGUGGUUAGGUCUACUAGUUACCGGCAGUGGUUAGGUCUACUAGUUACCGGCAGUGGUUAGGUCUACUAGUUACCGGCAGUGGUUAGGUCUACUAGUUACCGGCAGUGGUUAGGUCUACUAGUUACCGGCAGUGGUUAGGUCUACUAGUUACCGGCAGUGGUUAGGUCUACUAGUUACCGGCAGUGGUUCUGACCUGGUAGAGGUGGUAACUGUUUCUCCUCCCUGGUGACCGGCUGCUCCAGGGGUUUUGGCAGGGCAGGAACCUCC